CAAAGUGUAGCUUAACUAAAAGCACCCGGCUUACAUCCGGGAGAUAUCAGACAAAUUGACCACUUU
This 66-nucleotide transfer RNA is filed under the name Trinomys setosus. RNAcentral's name for it is "tRNA-Val". It matches the Rfam family "tRNA". Rfam says of the family: Transfer RNA (tRNA) molecules are approximately 80 nucleotides in length. The record is from RNAcentral. Lineage: Eukaryota; Metazoa; Chordata; Mammalia; Rodentia; Echimyidae.